UGCCCAUCGGGUGAUGGGGUGCCACCCAAAUAUCAGGGACUUAUCCGAAGUUUUCUGAUUUUUUGAACCGCUUCGCAAGAAUGCUGAUGACUCCUACUUCAAC
This 103-nucleotide non-coding RNA is filed under the name Lunatimonas lonarensis. Its description in RNAcentral is "Fluoride sequence". It matches the Rfam family "Fluoride riboswitch aptamer (crcB RNA motif)". Lineage: Bacteria; Pseudomonadati; Bacteroidota; Cytophagia; Cytophagales; Cyclobacteriaceae. The record is from Rfam by way of RNAcentral.